RNAcentral lists this ribosomal RNA (492 nucleotides) under uncultured bacterium. Its description in RNAcentral is "partial 16S ribosomal RNA". It matches the Rfam family "Bacterial small subunit ribosomal RNA", at positions 29 to 507 of the family's 1533-position model. The record is from RNAcentral.
AGUGAACGCUGGCGGUAGGCCUAACACAUGCAAGUCGAACGGCAGCACAGUAAGAGCUUGCUCUUACGGGUGGCGAGUCGCGGACGGGUGAGGAAUACAUCGGAAUCUACUUUUUCGUGGGGGAUAACGUAGGGAAACUUACGCUAAUACCGCAUACGAUCUACGGGUGAAAGCAGGGGAUCUUCGCACCUUGCGCGAUUGAACGAGCCGAUGUCGGAUUAGCUAGUUGGCGGGGUAAAGGCCCACCAAGGCGGCGAUCCGCAGCUGGUGUGAGAGGAGGGUCAGCCGCACUGGAACUGAGACACGGUCCAGGCUCCUACGGGAGGCAGCAGUGGGGAAUAUUGGGCAAUGGGCGCAAGCCUGAUCCAACCGUACCGCGUGGGUGAAGAAGGCCUUCGGGUUGUAAAGCCCUUUUGUUGGGAAAGAAAAGCAGCCGGUUAAUACCCCGCUGUUCUGACGGUACCCAAAGAAUAAGCACCGGCUAACUUCGUG